UAUUUUGUUUUUCAUUUUAUUUUUUAUAAACCCAGCGGUAGUCAGCUGUACAGGCCCGCCCGUGCCUGAGCUAGUGUUACACUGCUGGGAGAGGAACGCUCUGCUCAUGUGGCCUGGUCCAGCAGACACUGUUUUAGUGGCUGUUGAUACUUCGCUUUAGCAGAGCUUUGCCCUUCUGAGAGUUGGCUGUGUUCACACUGUGUUCACCGCCAUAGUCUAAGGACAUACAGAUUUAAUUAAAAUGCCUUUUCUUAUGUAUUUACUUGUAACUAGUUGUUGACCUAAAUCCCAUUCAUUUCAGGAAGGCCUGCUGAUAAAGUGAAUGACGGCGUCUAAAGGUAAUGUUUCUUUCUUUUGUGGGGAAUAUGUUCAGUGCCAUGAUGAUUAUUUAACACAUCAUUCUUAUUGUAUGGUGAAGAACAUUCAGAAAACACUGAGCACCCCUUCCUGUUAUUACAUCUUAAUGUAUUUUCAUACUGUAAUGUCUAAACCCAUCCAUGUUAUUUCAGGACACAUCCUCUAAUUGGCCAAAUAAGAAUUUGCUGUUAUGUUGAAGGUGUAAUGGAGGCUGUGAGGCCGCUACCAUUUGGUUGAAAUUGAAAGAUCAAAGGAAUCAUGCUUAUUACAUGAUGCUGUGAUACCAUCUUUGAAGAAAUGAAGACCAUGUAUCAGGGUGUUGAGUCUCUGGUUUUUAUGCCCUAAGUUGACAGAAAAAUCCUGACUCCUCUAAUUAAAGGAAUUUACAUGGAAUGGUGAUACUUGGUCUCUUGCUGCAGUGGAUGUCAAAGCAAGGAGGUCAUGCUGAUCUUCUGGUAUGCUGCUGGACUAUCGGUGCAUGAUGCUGCUUUACCCGGUUCUGAUGUCUGGAAUUUAUUGAAAGGUAAUGCGCAUGACCACUGACAUGUUUUAUUUUAACCCAAGCUGUACUCAAAAUCACAACAGAGGCUUUUUCCUCUUUGGUGAUCUCUUUUCCUUGGGAGAGUAACACAGGACUUUGGCACAGUUUGACGUAGUCUCAAUCUACAACAAUCUGACUAGAAGACCUGAGACACUUGUUUGCAAUAUGGUCACAUUUAUACUGAAACCUCUUGUAAUUUUUUUUAAUUGAGUCUUGUUUGUUGAUGUUUACAGGAAUGUUCUCUAGAUUCCAUCCUGCUGGAAAUGCUCUCUACUAAGAUGCGCUACUGCUCAUCACACCCCAGCUGGGUUCUUGUCCCUUAAUGCCAUGUAUUCCAGAAGACUCAAGGAAAAGAUUGAAUAAUAUGGAUCCUGGCAUGUCAGUGUUUGAGUUGAUUUGCUG
Molecule: long non-coding RNA, 1300 nt
Organism: Esox lucius (northern pike)
Lineage: Eukaryota; Metazoa; Chordata; Actinopteri; Esociformes; Esocidae
Source: Ensembl